ACCUGCCCGAACGGAAACCUUAUCCAGACCCGCACUUCGUCGUCUCCCUCAACAUUGCAAAACCUCGCCGCCUCCCACGCCACCUCCACCUCUUCUCAUGAGCGAGAGCCGGCCGGAAGGAAGGGUGAUAAGUCUUGCUGGAUAAUUGAUACAGCCAUGGAUCUCAGACAAGUGGAACUUGUCAGGAUAUAAUGUUCUUGGUUGUGCUUCAGCCAACUUUGAAAUGAGGAUGUGAGAAAUCAUAUAAUGGGCGCAGUUUGUGAAAUACUAGCAAAAUCCGAAGAUCUGGAGAUCCAACAGGCAAUAUUCGAAUGCCUUGCUAAAAUUGCAUCCACAUAUUAUAUGCUGUUACAACCUUAUUUGAGAACCAUACUUAGUCUGACAGAAUCAAUUGCACCCCAAUGUAUGGUGUUCUGGUGCACUGUUUGUAAGGAAGUGAUUAAACUCCGAGAAGAACAACACAUUGGCGCUGUCGAUGCUAACUCUAAAUAUUGUUGCUUUAUUUAUGAGGCCCUCGAGUUACAUGUUCCAGUGCUGCUAAAGCAUCUGUUCAAGCGAGAGAAAGAUCAGGAAGGACUAGUUCGAAUGCUGCUACAACAUCUGUUCAAUCAAGAGGAAGAUCAAGACGGACUAGUUCCAAUGCCACUAGAGCAUCUGCUCAUGCAAGAGGAAGAUCAAGGAGAUGAUGUCAUGCAAGAGGAAGAUCAAGGAGAUGAUGUCAUGCAAGAGGAAGAUCAAGAAGGAGAUGAUUGUCUUCUGAACAUUGACAUCGACUGUGUGACUCUUCUAGGCCUCAUUGCUAGAACUAUCAGGGAUGCAAUUGUCCCCCUUGUGAUGCAAUGUAUUGAGGGUAACAUUAAAGAGCCAGAUUGGCAUAGUCGCAUGGCCGCUGUUUCUGCAAUUGGUUUUAUCCUUGAAGGCCCUUCUGUUAAGGGACUCGCUCCACUGCUUGAUUUGUUGCUCGACAAGAUGGAAGAUCCAAACAGCAAGGUAAAAGGAACCACUGCAUGGAUUCUUGGCCGGAUGUUUAAGCUUCUGCAUUUUCCGGCAAGUGCAAAUGGAAUUAUAACGAAAGCAAACCUUCCUCGCAUCAUGGAUGUGUUGGUACACUGUAGUAAAGAUAUUCCAAUUGUGUCCGAAAAAGUAUGCGGAGCUAUAUAUUUUCUUGCCCGAGGUUACGAAGAUGCAGAGUCAAUGCCAUCUGAGCUUUCAUUGUCUCUUGAUCGUGUUAUUGAUGCUCUCCUUUCUGCUUCACAACCUUCUGAUGAGACCCCUUUCAGGCUUGGAGCGUCUGCCUAUGAAGCAUUGUGUGCAGUUGUGAGAGUCAGCAAUUUAGAACAACCUGUUGUUUGGAGCGCUAUAGGAGAUUUAAUGCAUCGUAUCAUGAAAAGAUUGGAUAUGACGCUUGAUCGCCAAGCACUUACUUUGGGUCAUAAGUUGAAGAAAAACAAUCUUCAGAUUGUGCUGUGUGGUGUACUGCAGGUCAUCGUCCAGAAACUGGCCAAUUCAGCUACAGUGAAGAUAGUUACGAACGCUGCUCAUCAUUUGUUGUUUUCUUUUUGCCGUGUCUUGGUUUGUGACAGUUCUACCGCACAGAGUGAAGCAAUGUCUUGGUUUGCCAUUGCUGCUCUUGCUAAUGCCACCGGUCCAGGGUUUGGGAAACAUAUGCCUAUACUCAUGCAGGUACUUGAUGCUCACCCACUCUCCCCCAUCUCUGUAGGAGUGAUCGGCGAUAUCUGCCUUGCCUUGGAAGGUAAAAUAUUGCCACACUGUGAUAAAAUUAUGCAAGUUCUGUACAAAGGUCUUUCUAAGUCGACUCUCAGAGCUCCAAUUUUCUCAUGCUUUGGAGACAUUGCUCUUGCUAUUAGCAAUGAUUUUGAGAAGUACCUGCAGUAUGUUCUGGAAAAGCUUCAAGAAGCUGCUAACUCACAGGACUGGGCUGAUGUUCAAGAAGAGGACAAGACUGAAUAUGUGAACCAGCUUAGACAGGGAAUAUAUAAGGCAUACUCUGGCAUACUACGGGGUAUAAAGGACCCAAGAAUUGGGUUUAAGGUAGCAACCCAUCUAUUUAAAUUCAUGGAAGCUGUCUGGGUAGACCGGAGCAGGGAUAAAAGUGUGAUGCAUGCUGCUGUUGCUGUUUUGACCGAUUUUGAUUUGACAAUUGGGUCAUGGACAGAAGAAAUGACUAAGGAAUUGCAUAACUAACUAUUAUGAUUUCAUCUGAAGCAGAUGCAUAUCCGGAACUCUGCUCCAAAAUGUACUCGUUAUGCUGAUUUCUCUAAUGGAAAUCGGAGGGGAAAUCCUCUUUUGCUCAAAAGAAAAUCUGAAGCAGAUGCACCGCUUGCUAUUAUAUGUCAACUUUGCUGUAGGCCUUCCGAUGACGUGCGUUCAGCGGGAGGAGAUGUCCCUGUCGACUACGAUGGAGUCUGGCGAUUUUGUCAAUCUAAGAUGAUGUGCUGGCUCAGUCUCUCGGUGGUGCUCAUAAGGAUAUGGGUGUGUGUGUGCGUGCGUUCAUAAGGGUGAGUAUAUGUGUAUGUACGAGUAUAUGUGUAAAAAAACAUAAUCUUUGUUCUUGAUUUUUGAAAA
RNA transcript from Triticum aestivum (bread wheat), 2586 nucleotides. It is a transcript of the gene named importin subunit beta-1, with no coding region annotated. The transcript has 4 exons. NCBI's taxonomy places the organism in Eukaryota, Viridiplantae, Streptophyta, Magnoliopsida, Poales, Poaceae. The record is from RefSeq and is a predicted model, not a curated record.